RNAcentral lists this ribosomal RNA (1097 nucleotides) under Vibrio sp. 7522M. RNAcentral describes it as "bacterial SSU rRNA". It matches the Rfam family "Bacterial small subunit ribosomal RNA", at positions 404 to 1454 of the family's 1533-position model. The record is from RNAcentral. Lineage: Bacteria; Pseudomonadati; Pseudomonadota; Gammaproteobacteria; Vibrionales; Vibrionaceae.
UGUGAAGAAGGCCUUCGGGUUGUAAAGCACUUUCAGUCGUGAGGAAGGUGGUGGAGUUAAUAGCUGUAUCAUUUGACGUUAGCGACAGAAGAAGCACCGGCUAACUCCGUGCCAGCAGCCGCGGUAAUACGGAGGGUGCGAGCGUUAAUCGGAAUUACUGGGCGUAAAGCGCAUGCAGGUGGUUUGUUAAGUCAGAUGUGAAAGCCCGGGGCUCAACCUCGGAAUAGCAUUUGAAACUGGCAGACUAGAGUACUGUAGAGGGGGGUAGAAUUUCAGGUGUAGCGGUGAAAUGCGUAGAGAUCUGAAGGAAUACCGGUGGCGAAGGCGGCCCCCUGGACAGAUACUGACACUCAGAUGCGAAAGCGUGGGGAGCAAACAGGAUUAGAUACCCUGGUAGUCCACGCCGUAAACGAUGUCUACUUGGAGGUUGUGGCCUUGAGCCGUGGCUUUCGGAGCUAACGCGUUAAGUAGACCGCCUGGGGAGUACGGUCGCAAGAUUAAAACUCAAAUGAAAUUGACGGGGGGCCCCCGCACAAGCGGGUGGAAGCAAUGUGGUUUAAUUUCGAAUGCAACGCGAAAGAACCUUACCUAACUCUUUGACAUCCAGAGAACUUUUCCAGAGAUGGAAUUGGUUGCCUUCGGGAACUCUGAAGACAGGGUGCUUGCAUGGCUUGUCGGUCAGCUCGUGUUGUGAAAAUGUUGGGGUUAAGUCCCGGAAACGAGGCGCAACCCCUUAUCCUUUGUUUUGCCAGCGGAGUAAAUGUCGGGGAACUCCAGGAAGACUGCCCGGUGAUAAACCGGGAGGAAGGUGGGGGACGACGUUCAAGUCAUCAUGGCCCCUUACGAGUAGGGGCUACACACGGUGCUACAAUGGCGCAUACAGAAGGGCAGCAAAGCUAGCCAAUAGUGAGCGAAUCCCAAAAAAGUGCGUCGUAGUCCGGAUUGGAGUCUGCAACUCGACUCCAUGAAGUCGGAAUCGCUAGUAAUCGUGGAUCAGAAUGCCACGGUGAAUACGUUCCCGGGCCUUGUACACACCGCCCGUCACACCAUGGGAAUGGGCUGCAAAGAAGUAGGUAGUUAACCUUCGGGAGGACACU